AAUAUAAGAGUAUAGUUUAAUUGGAAAAAUAGGAAGCUUCAACCUUCAAAUUCUUGGUUCAAACCCAAGUACUCUUGAAAUAAUUAUAACCAAUAUCUAUUAAUAAUAGUAUAUAAAAUGAAGAUAACACCGGAUUAGGGCCGGGAGGAUAGGCAUCUCGUUUGGGUCGGGAACCAGUUAUGUUCGAAUCAUAAUAAUCCGAAUUUUAGAACUAUUAGAAAUAUAGUAUGAUUAACCAUACGUAUCAAUUUAGAUAUGAAGUUCAAUAUUGAUAUAUUUUACCUUUCCCUUAAUCUCUAAUCCCUUUGGGAUAUGGAUAAGAUGGAAAUAGAAAUAUUGAAAUAAGGACUUUGGUUACAAAAAUUAAUGAUAUAUAACUAUUACUUAUAAAUAUAUAAGUAUAUAAAGAAACUAUUAUGGAAUUUAAGCUAUGUAUUAAAGAGAAUUAUUUAUAUAUAUAGGAUAUUUAUCCUAUAAUUAUAUGAACUCUAAGAGAAAUUUUAUAAUAAACGAAGUGAAUUGAAAUAUCUUAGUAACUUUAGGAAAAUAAAUCAAAAGAGAUUCUAUGAAUAGCGUGAGCGAAAGUAGAGAAGCCUAAUAAGUAAAACGGUUCAAAACUGUUUAAACAUUAUGGGGAACCUUCCUCAAAGGCUAAAUAUAAUACAUAAGCGAUAGUGAAAAGUACCAUGAGGGAAAUAAAAUAAAAAUAGUAGUUUUAUAAGCAGUUCGAAAUAAAGAACGUACCUUUUGCAUAAUGGGUCACCAAGUUAACGUUAGAUGCGAGAUAACACGUAGUUAAACCGAACGUUAAAAUAACGAUAUAGUGUCUAAAGUUAGACCCGAAGCCUGGUGAUUUUACCAUAGUCAGGAUUAUAAAAGUCCGAACCGGUGAUUGUAGCAAAAAUCUCGGAAGAACUGUGGUAGGUGUAGUGAAAGACAACACUGACUAGGAUAGCUGGUUUUCUGCGAAACCUAUAAUAGUAGGCAGUUUAAGUAAAUAUCUUAGCAGGUACAGAAUUUAAUCUCAGACAAGACAUUUCAAAUGUUUUAUAUUGUACAAAUUGGGGGAUCAUGAAGAUUUUAUCAGUGAGUAUGUAGACUCGGAAUGGCAAAGAUAUAUCUUAAACUAUCAGACAUAGAAUGAUAAGGUUGUAUGUCGAAAGGGAAACAGCCCAGAACAAGAGUUAAGGUUCCUAAAUUAUUUGUUGAGUGAAAAUAAGAAGGUUUUUAUUUAAGUCGACAAGGAGAUAGGCUUAGAAGCAGCCACAAUUUUAUGACCUCGUAACAGAGCGCUUGUUAAAUUAUAAAAGCGUCGAAAAUAUAACGGAUCUAAACAAUAUACCGAAACCUUGUCCAUAAUAUAUUAUAAUAAAUAUGUUUAUUGUAAUUAAAUGGGGUAGCAGAACGUUGAGCUAAAGUAUGAGUUUUAUUUUUUAAAUAAAAUUAUAGUAUUUAACUCAAGUGAGAAUGGUGACAUGAGUAACUAAAAGAAAAUUUUCCGCCUUAAGCUUAUGGAUGUAAUUAAGUAACGGCCUCUAAGUUUAUAUAAUCUAAAGAUUUAAACGAUGAGAAAAUCUUUAUUACUAAAAACAACAUUUUGGUGCAAAAUGUGCUGGAAAAAUAGUAAUAUGUUUGUUAUUUAAUAACAAAUAAAAUAACCGUACCUAGAAUCUGAAACAAGUAAGCUAGUAGAGAAUACGAAGGCGUAAAUGAGCUAACAAUCAUAAAGGAACUCGGCAAAUUGACUACCGUAACUUCGGAAUAAGGAGGGCUCAUUAUUCUUGAUGAAUAUCAAGUAAAGAGGAAGAAGCAUGAAAUAAUGUUGUACGACUGUUUAAUUAAAACACAGCACUUUGCUGAAAGAUUAAAAAUCUAAGUAUAAAGUGUGAUAUCUGCCCGGUGCCGGCUGGUUAACAGACAUAAUUGAAUAUACUAAUAUUUGAUGUGGACGGAAACCCCGGUUAAAGGCGGCCUUAACGUGAGGGUCCUAAGGUAGCGAAAUGCCUUGGCCGUUAAAUGCGGUCUUGCAUGAAUGGUGUAACGAUACAACAGCUGUCUCUAUGAUUGACUCAGUGAAAUUGGAAUAGCUGUGCAGAUACAGCUUACCUCUAGUUAGACGAGAAGACCCUAUGCAGCUUUACUGUCACUAAUUAUAGAGUAUGAUAAACGAUUUUCAGAAUAUAAGGUAAUUGACAAACAUGACAAUGAGAAACCUUUAUUCUUUUUUCAUAUGAAUGAAUUGGUUUAGGAUUAUGAGUAAUUUGUAGUUAAUUUUAUGGGCCUAGCUUAUGCUUGGUCACAUAUUUUAAUUUAUAGCUCAUUUUAGUAAAUCAACCUAAUUCAACUUAUUUAUUUUUAAAAUUAGUAAGUACCCUUUGGUAAGGAACUAUCGCUAGGGGACAGUUUAUGUGGGGCACAGACCCUGUAAAGAGUAAACAGGAGUGUCUAAAAAUUUAUAAUUAUUUUGUUUGCUAUUUUGAGUAGUUUAACUAUUUUUAAUCGUAUAAAAUUAAAUAUAUUUGCAUUUUAUGUAUAUAUAUUUAAGAUUAGGUAAGAUUUUCACUAUAUAGAAAUUAGAGAUAAUUGAGAAUAUUAUGAAGUUUUCUAAUAUUUUCUAGCUAUUAUUUAUAAUAGUUAUGUGUUUAAUAUCUAAAAAGCUCAACGGCUUAAUCUUGCCUUACUGUUUGAUUAUCGACAAAUCUUACAGUUGCGUAAGCAGGGCAUAGGAUCACAAGAUGCCACAAGGAAAGAUCUUGGAUUAUUGGAAAAGCUACGCUAGGGAUGUUUGUCCUUUAAUAUUUUAUUUAUGUGGGGUUUGCUAAGCACGCCUCCUAUAAAAUUAUUAAUAUAAAUUGGGUAAAUUUCAAGAAUUACUAAUAAUGAUAGUAAACUUGAAGCGAAGUUUAUCUUAGCAUAUAUAUAAGAUAAAAACGUUCAACG
Molecule: ribosomal RNA, 2940 nt
Filed under: Trichoderma asperellum
Lineage: Eukaryota; Fungi; Ascomycota; Sordariomycetes; Hypocreales; Hypocreaceae
Description: bacterial LSU rRNA
Rfam family: Bacterial large subunit ribosomal RNA (bases 394-2850)
Source: RNAcentral